UGGGGAAUAUUGCACAAUGGGCGAAAGCCUGAUGCAGCGAUUCUGCGUGAAGGAUGAAGCCUCGUGGGGUGUAAACUUCUUUUCUGGGGGAAGACGAAUGACGGUACCUCAGGAAUACGGGACGGCUAACUUCGUGCCAGCAGCCGCGGUAAUACGAAGGUCCCGAGCGUUAUCCGGAGUUACUGGGCGUAAAGCGUCUGUAGCCUGGUUUGUAAGUCUAUUUUAAAAUAUCUCAACUCAAUUGGGAAAAGGGAAUAGAUACUGCAUACCUAGAGUAUUAUAGGGGUUAGUAGAAUGUCCUGUGGAGCGGUGAAAUGCGUUGAUAUAGGAAGGAAUGCCAAAAGCGAAAGCAGCUAACUAUAUAUCACUGACGGUGAGAGACGACAGCGUGGGGAGCAAACG
RNAcentral lists this ribosomal RNA (402 nucleotides) under uncultured prokaryote. RNAcentral describes it as "bacterial SSU rRNA". It matches the Rfam family "Bacterial small subunit ribosomal RNA", at positions 355 to 774 of the family's 1533-position model. The record is from RNAcentral.